AGGGAAUCUUCCACAAUGGACGGAAGUCUGAUGGAGCAACGCCGCGUGAGUGAUGAAGGUUUUCGGAUCGUAAAACUCUGUUGUAAGGGAAGAACCAGUACGUCAGGCAAUGGACGUACCUUGACGGUACCUUAUUAGAAAGCCACGGCUAACUACGUGCCAGCAGCCGCGGUAAUACGUAGGUGGCAAGCGUUGUCCGGAAUUAUUGGGCGUAAAGCGCGCGCAGGUGGUUUCUUAAGUCUGAUGUGAAAGGUACCGGCUCAACCGGUGACAUGCAUUUGAAACUGAAAGACUUGAGUAUUGGAGAGGCAAGUGGAAUUCCUAGUGUAGCGGUGAAAUGCGUAGAUAUUAGGAGGAACACCGGUGGCGAAGGCGGCUUGCUGGACAAAUACUGACGCUGAGGUGCGAAAGCGUGGGGAGCAAACA
Molecule: ribosomal RNA, 426 nt
Filed under: uncultured Bacillota bacterium
Lineage: Bacteria; Bacillati; Bacillota
Description: bacterial SSU rRNA
Rfam family: Bacterial small subunit ribosomal RNA
Source: RNAcentral